CACGCUGUAAACGAUGAACACUUGGUGUGGAGGGAGUUGACCCCUUCCGUGCCGGAGCUAACGCGUUAAGUGUUCCGCCUGGGGANGCAACGCGAAGAACCUUACCUGGGCUUGAACUGCAGUGGACCGGUAUAGAGAUAUGCCUUUUCGCAAGAACUGCUGCAGAGGUGC
RNAcentral lists this ribosomal RNA (171 nucleotides) under uncultured bacterium. Its description in RNAcentral is "partial 16S ribosomal RNA". The stretch from base 1 to 79 matches the Rfam family "Bacterial small subunit ribosomal RNA", at positions 796 to 873 of the family's 1533-position model. The record is from RNAcentral.